This 253-nucleotide ribosomal RNA is filed under the name uncultured bacterium. RNAcentral's name for it is "partial 16S ribosomal RNA". It matches the Rfam family "Bacterial small subunit ribosomal RNA", at positions 524 to 776 of the family's 1533-position model. The record is from RNAcentral.
UACGAAGGGGGCGAACGUUGUUCGGAAUCACUGGGCAUAAAGCGCACGUAGGCGGCUAGGUCCGUCCGAUGUGAAAGCCCCCGGCUCAACCGGGGAAUUGCAUCGGAUACAGCCUGGCUUGAGGACGGUUGGGGUGAGUGGAACUCCUGGUGGAGCGGUGAAAUGCGUAGAUAUCAGGAGGAACACCGGUGGCGAAAGCGGCUCACUGGACCGUUGCUGACGCUGAGGUGCGAAAGCUAGGGGAGCAAACGGG